GUCGGAAUCGCUAGUAAUCGCGAAUCAGAACGUCGCGGUGAAUACGUUCCCGGGCUUUGUACACACCGCCCGUCAAGUCAUGGAAGUGGGUUGCACCAGAAGUGGCUAGUCUAACCUUCGGGAGGACGGUCACCACGGUGUGGUUCAUGACUGGGACUAAGUCGUAACAAGGUAGCCGUAGGGGAACCUGUGGCUGGAUCACCUCCUUA
RNAcentral lists this ribosomal RNA (209 nucleotides) under Gammaproteobacteria bacterium. RNAcentral describes it as "partial 16S ribosomal RNA". It matches the Rfam family "Bacterial small subunit ribosomal RNA", at positions 1325 to 1533 of the family's 1533-position model. The record is from RNAcentral. Lineage: Bacteria; Pseudomonadati; Pseudomonadota; Gammaproteobacteria.